This 253-nucleotide ribosomal RNA is filed under the name uncultured bacterium. Its description in RNAcentral is "partial 16S ribosomal RNA". It matches the Rfam family "Bacterial small subunit ribosomal RNA", at positions 524 to 776 of the family's 1533-position model. The record is from RNAcentral.
UACGAAGGGGGCUAGCGUUGCUCGGAAUUACUGGGCGUAAAGGGCGCGUAGGCGGAUGAUUAAGUCGAGGGUGAAAUCCCGGGGCUCAACCCCGGAACUGCCUUUGAAACUGGAGAGCUAGAAUCUUGGAGAGGCGAGUGGAAUUCCGAGUGUAGAGGUGAAAUUCGUAGAUAUUCGGAAGAACACCAGUGGCGAAGGCGACUCGCUGGACAAGUAUUGACGCUGAGGUGCGAAAGCGUGGGGAGCAAACAGG